AUUGAACGCUGGCGGCAUGCCUUACACAUGCAAGUCGAACGGCAGCACGGGAGCAAUCCUGGUGGCGAGUGGCGAACGGGUGAGUAAAGUAUCGGAACGUGCCCAGUCGUGGGGGAUAACGUAGCGAAAGUUACGCUAAUACCGCAUACGAUCUAUGGAUGAAAGCGGGGGAUCGCAAGACCUCGCGCGAUUCGAGCGGCCGAUAGCGGAUUAGGUAGUUGGUGGGGUAAAGGCUCACCAAGCCGACGAUCUGUAGCUGGUCUGAGAGGACGACCAGCCACACUGGGACUGAGACACGGCCCAGACUCCUACGGGAGGCAGCAGUGGGGAAUUUUGGACAAUGGGCGAAAGCCUGAUCCAGCCAUGCCGCGUGCAGGAUGAAGGCCUUCGGGUUGUAAACUGCUUUUGUACGGAACGAAAAGGUUUGGCCUAAUAAGCUGAGCUCAUGACGGUACCGUAAGAAUAAGCACCGGCUAACUACGUGCCAGCAGCCGCCGCAG
Molecule: ribosomal RNA, 500 nt
Filed under: uncultured bacterium
Lineage: Bacteria
Description: partial 16S ribosomal RNA
Rfam family: Bacterial small subunit ribosomal RNA
Source: RNAcentral